This 428-nucleotide ribosomal RNA is filed under the name Salmonella enterica subsp. enterica. RNAcentral's name for it is "bacterial SSU rRNA". It matches the Rfam family "Bacterial small subunit ribosomal RNA", at positions 1117 to 1533 of the family's 1533-position model. Lineage: Bacteria; Pseudomonadati; Pseudomonadota; Gammaproteobacteria; Enterobacterales; Enterobacteriaceae. RNAcentral also lists the same sequence under 2 other names. The record is from RNAcentral.
GCCAGCGAUUAGGUCGGGAACUCAAAGGAGACUGCCAGUGAUAAACUGGAGGAAGGUGGGGAUGACGUCAAGUCAUCAUGGCCCUUACGACCAGGGCUACACACGUGCUACAAUGGCGCAUACAAAGAGAAGCGACCUCGCGAGAGCAAGCGGACCUCAUAAAGUGCGUCGUAGUCCGGAUUGGAGUCUGCAACUCGACUCCAUGAAGUCGGAAUCGCUAGUAAUCGUGGAUCAGAAUGCCACGGUGAAUACGUUCCCGGGCCUUGUACACACCGCCCGUCACACCAUGGGAGUGGGUUGCAAAAGAAGUAGGUAGCUUAACCUUCGGGAGGGCGCUUACCACUUUGUGAUUCAUGACUGGGGUGAAGUCGUAACAAGGUAACCGUAGGGGAACCUGCGGUUGGAUCACCUCCUUACCUUAAAGAAGC